Molecule: long non-coding RNA, 3485 nt
Organism: Mustela lutreola (European mink)
Lineage: Eukaryota; Metazoa; Chordata; Mammalia; Carnivora; Mustelidae
Exons: 3
Source: RefSeq, a predicted model, not a curated record
GCUCGCCAGCACGGGGCGAGCCGCCUUCCUUCCGUUGCGGCCUUCGUGGUCACUAGAGUUUCGUUGGAUGGUUUCAUCGCCAGCACUUAAUAGAUGGACAGACAGACUCAGAGAGGACGUACAACGUGGCAGGUGGUAUGAGAAACUGCAGGCUCCUGGUGUUAGGACAUCAAGUGUGAUCAGCACAUUCGGCUCUAGGAAGACGCAGGCCUUCCUCCCCGCUCGGAUGGAGGGAACAGAAGACCAGGGCUCAUGCCUCCCAUGGCUGCGAGGCUGGAAGAGACAAACACUGAGCCUGGGGCACCCACGUACGCGGCCGUGAACACGUGACGUGGGGGUCACCCGCCUUCCCCACUCGGAACAUGUGGGAUUGGAGACAAUGACUUAGACCUGACUUUAUCCGGAUACCGUGUCUCUGAAAAGAAAGAGUAGACAGGUCAUUCUUCUGCUCAGACUGUGUAUUUUGCACGGGUAUCACCUUGAGGAAAAUCGGCACCACCUCCGGGGAUCUCUGCUGACCCCUUAGAGGGAAGACACGGCCGAGCGGCGAGGAGCGGGGCGGUACCGCCUCGCUGCCGGGUCCCCGUAAGACAGGAAUCGCCCGCCAAAGCCUCGUUCAGCGCAGACGGGAUCUGGGAUCGCCAUGGCGACCGUGUUUUCUCAGGAUCAAGGCCUGUUCCUCAGGAAAAAACUAGGGUUGUUUGCUUGAAAUUCUCAAAGCCGCCUGUAACUUCAAAGCCAUGCUCAUUGUGUUUGAACUUUCUCGAAUUAUUGAUACGCUUUGUUCAGAGUAUAGAUCUGCUCUGGAAAACGGAGCAAGACCCGAACUGCAGAAUGUCACGUGUGAGCCCGUGUCAGCGGGACAAGAGCAGCGGGAGGGGCGCUGGCCUGGCUCUUCUUGGGGAUCCCGGUGGGAGGAGGGGGCGGGGCACUGCAGGUGCCGUGCCCUCGGGGCGGCUCCCUGUGGCGGCGGACACCAAGUGGGGGCACAGCCCUCAGCACGACUCGGAGCACAGCUGAGCCCACACUGGCUUGUCCAGGCAACCAGAACAGGACCUCGAGGUGCAGGCUGUGGGGCCCCCGCCGCCCCGGGGUCAAGGUCGGUCUGCGGGAGGAUGGAGCGUCACAGCGCGGGAAUGGCUGUCCCGGGAUCUGACUGCUGGUUCCCGAUUCGAUUUAGGGUGAGGCACAUGUUAGCAGGCUGAGAAAGGGUUGUUUGAUCUUAAGUGAACAUUUCUCCUUAAAUCGCCUGCAGGGUCCUUCCUCUCUUUCCUCUUGUGAGGCUGGGGACCGUCCGGGCCCGCGGUGAGGCUGGAUGUGACGGAGGACAGGGCCUCGACUGGGCCUCGGUCCCAGAUACGGGCCACGGCAGUGGCCACCCCCGUUAGGGCACCCGCGGACCAGCUCAGGACACCUCAUGGCCACAACCAUGUAGGAAAAGCCCGAGACACAAGUCUGGCAGUAAACCUGCAGUGCCGGCCUCAACGGGUGUGAACGCCCCUAGGGCGACAGAGGGGCCAGCACGGAGCGUGGGAACAUCGUCCCCUGGGGUUCCGGGUGGGUCGGAGUCUCACUGGCGCGCCCAGAGCUCUCCGGUGCUGGGGGGCCCAGUGCAGUGGGGGGGUGAGGGCGGCCGGCCCGGAUCCCAGUUCUCACCUAUCCUGUCCCCGCGGCCACAAAGCAACGCCGACUUCCUUCCCUAGUUCACAGCAUCGUUGAUGAAGGAAGGAACCCAAACGGCGUAAAACAGGGCUCGUGCUUGCCUCAGCAGCCGGACACUUCUCUCCUCACGUUCUGAGCAGACAGGUGGACGCCGAGGAACGCUGCUGACCCCGCUGCGCCCUCCUCCUCCCGCUGGGGAUGUCUCUCGGGGACGCCUGCUCUGCCAGCAGGUCGGCGGCAGGCCCGAGUGCCCCCUGCCCUGCCCUGGGCCUGACCCUAGCCAGGGCACUUACCUGAGCCCUGUCCCUGACCCCUGGCCUGACCCUGAUCCCAGCCCUGACCUCUCCCUGACUCCAGCCCUGACUCUGACCCCAGCCCUGAGCCAGGCUUGAAGGUGGACACCGUGGCCAGAGACGCUGCAGGCAGUAGGCAGAGUGCUGGGCCGCUCUCGGGCUCGGGGAGCCGUUGAGUCUCACUCCCUCUCCAGGUUAGGUGGACACGGGACCCCGAGGGUCGUUCACCUCUAACAGACACCUGCCUUGGGUUUGGAAAACCCAGACUUGCCGAGAGCUUGGUUCUCCCUUGGCUGCUGCUGCCCCUUCCUCGGCCAGACCCGAGGGCCUCCCCCAGUGGACGGCUGUGAGCACGGGCCAGGACGACACAAAGACAGCCUCUGCCCGCGCUGACCUCCAGGAUGAACUCCUGGUCUCCUGGCAGAUGCACACUGGCUCCGAAGACCCCCCCCCCCAAUCUGACGACUCCCGCAGGGGGACCUCGUGUUGCUGGAGGAUGCACGGUCCCUGCCCGUCUGCCGUGGGCGUGGUCACUUGACUGGCGGCGGGGCUUCGGCGGGGACCCCCACGUUCUUGGCCGCCAUCCUUAAAUCCCCAGCCCCCAGCCCAGCUCUGACAUGAAAAGGAGCAGUGGGUCAGAGAGGAACCCAGGGAGCCACAGUGGGGAUAACUGGAGCGUGGGCGGGCUUUAGAGGAACGAUCCGACACCGCCAUGUGCCUGCGGGGGAGCUGGCUACUGGGCUCCCGGCUUCUCCACCCAGCUGCUCCCGGGAGAAGGCAGGACAGGGGUGAUUCACUCAGGAUGGGCCGGAUGUGCCGGUAACAAACACAUGCAGAUCUCAGCGGCAAAUCAAUGGACACGUCCGUGCGCGUCCACGCGUGUCACGCAUCUGUCCAGGGACCGCGGGCCUGGCUGACCCGGACGCCCCCUUGCUGCGUGACGUGGGGCGUCAGCAAGUCCUGCCAGAGGUCAAGGGGAGCUUAGGAAUUCACGGUCCUCCCUCUGCCCCAUUUUAACAAAUUAAGCUUUUUUUUUUUUUUUAAGAUUUUAUUUAUUUAUUUGACAGAGAGAGAUCACAAGUAGGCAGAGAGGCAGGCAGAGAGAGAGAGGAGGAAGCAGGCUCCCCACUGAGCAGAGAGCCCGAUGCGGGGCUCGAUCCCAGGACCCUGAGAUCAUGACCUGAGCCGAAGGCAGCAGCUUAACCCACUGAGCCACCCAGGCGCCCCUAAUUAAGCUUUUUUUUUUUAAUUUAUUUUUUCUUUUCAGCAUAACAGUAUUCAUUAUUUUUGCACCACACCCAGUGCUCCAUGCAAUCCGUGCCCUCCAUAAUACCCACCACCUGGUACCCCAACCUCCCACCCCCCGCCCCUUCAAAACCCUCAGAUUGUUUCUCAGAGUCCACAGUCUCUCAUGGUUCACCUCCCCUUCCAAUUUCCCCCAACUCCCUUCUCCUCUCCGUCUCCCCAUGUCCGCCAUGCUAUUUGUUAGGCUCCACAGAUAAGUGAAACCAUGUGAUAAUUGACUCUCUC